UCAAAACAAUCCAUCGACCAUUCAGAUUCUGAGCCAUGGAAUCGCAAAAAUAUUUUCUUAUUCGAAAUUGACGGGGCUCAGUAAAAGUCUUGGAUUAUAUUCUUAUUUCUUCAAAAGUGAAUGUAAAUCAUUGUUAUAUCAUCGUUACCGUUUUAUGCGGGUGCAAAAUUAUUUAUCAUUUAAAUCGACGCGAAGCAUGAUAGUUAUAGAUGGCGCUUACGGCUCGUAAAGUUGAGCGAAAUUCGCCCGAUCCAGGCCAUAAGUAUGCAGCAUACAUCUGCGUACUUUGUGCGAGCUAUAUAUAGUUCGCGUGCAUGCAGUCAAUCGAAUCAGUACAUUACGGUAAAGAAGUCCGAUGAGUCGGUUGUAUGCAUGCGACGGCGAGAUCCGAAUUGGCACAACAAAGCGUGCACGCUGCUCAGCAAGUCCAUGCUGAGAACGUACAAUACGAUAGGCCGACUAUACAAAUUUCAAUAGCUGCUGCACGUAAGUACGAUUCAAGUAGAGGCUAAUUCGACCAAUCCAGGCGACUUUAUGACAGUUGACGCAAGUAUCGCAAAGCCACUACUAACGAGUGUUUUGUCGAGGUGCACCUGUAACCAUCGCGUAUGUAUGUACACAUAAUAUAGGUACCACUGCAUACAUGUUACUAUAAUUAGUUAUGAGCUCGGCUCUCGAGGAGUCAUAGUCCACGCGCCUGAAUGACAUAAUCCUCGGAGCCCACAUACCCAAGAGCUAGCUGGAAAUAAUAAAGAAGUGUAUGCUUAUAAGAGCUGAGAAGAGCUACGAGCCUUUGCCUAUUACGUUUGACAUGGUAAAACGGAGUUCCGUUUGAAUACGGACGAAAAAAGUGCCAGGAAUUUGCAUAAAAUGACAGAGCAACAAAGAGUCACUUCAGUUAAUAACACCUUAACAAUGAUGGAGGACAACUGACCCGAACGAUUCGUACCCAAGACCCAUUACAUUAGUAAAAAAUCGAUAUCAAUAUAGAUGGUAAAAUUAUCUAAGUGAACAAUUUUCUUGGCUAUACGUGUGUGAAGUAUGAGCCUAGCAUUAUAAAUUGUAACAGCAUUCAUCCUGCCUCACUUGGUGGGUAAAUAACGACAUAAUACAACUACAAGUGUGUAGGCACAUGCAUAAAAAUUGAGCGUUGUGUACGCGAAUAGGCGAGAGACCGAAGUUGCAAUUUAUUGGGCUAUUUAAUAUUUGUGUGCCACCACUUGGUAGAUUAGACUUUCGAGUUAGCAGUUGGAAGCGCAGAAGCAGUAGCAGCAGCAAUUUACUUUCGGAGUUUCAAGCCGAGUCGUCGAAUAACGAGUCACGACUAUACUAACAAUAUAGCUACGAAAGUGUGGAGGCUCACUGGCUCACUGGCGAGUCGUUGCGAAUCGAAACUCUGCGCGUCGGACUCGUCUGCGUCUCGUAUCUGGCCAAUACAUAAUCGCAAUCGCGCAAGUCCCGUCGGAGCAGAGCAGAGAAAGCAACAGCAGUAGCAGCAGACAACUCAUGUGUCAAGCGUCGACAGUUGUUGCUACUGCUGCGUCGUAUAUAAUUCGCAAUAUCAUAUAUGGUUUGUGAAAGACGCAUAUAGACCGCUGGAAACUGCUCGAUCGGGCAGUCUGCGUUGUGCGAUUCCACGCAACGCGCACCUCGCACGUAUAGGCACACAGAGCAGAGCGAUUAAAUUGCAAUAUUGUCUGCGCGCUGCGCUUUUGUGCGUGUGCAGCAACUCUGCUCUAGUCGAGUGUGCCCGAUACACGUUCGUGCACGCGUGCUGAUUUUUCGCCUUCUUUUUUGUCGCCUUGAUCGUGCAUCGUCGCGCACGAUAUAUAGGCCCGCGUGCGAGCGCGUGCAUGUGUGUACGUACGUAUAUACCACUGUGUGUAUAGGUGUAAGCCAGAGAAGCUAGACCAGUCCACGCACGCUUAUCACGAGCUUCUGCACGAGCAGCCUCGAGACUACGAGCGUCCCAUAUCAGUGUGCAUCGACAGCAGCAGCAAAACAAUCGAUCGCAGCCGACGACCAAAACAAAUCUGAGAUCCUUUCGUUUUGGUGUGUGCCUCGAUCGGAGUUGAGUAGUUACUCCUGCUGCGCUCGGCUGGCUCGUUUACUCUCACUCUCCCUUUUGCCCCCCUCUUUCUCUGUUGCGAGGGCCGCUCGGCCGAGACUUUUCGUCCUUAUACGUCGUCGGACGCGCAGCCAAGGCUACGCUGCAGCCAACGAUCUGCCGCGGCUUGCAUCGGGAUUCGAGGGCGCAACUGGGCCUCCCCCUGAGACACCGAGCUGACACCGAGUGCCAGGGUGGCUGGCCCGUAACGUUCAACAGUUCCUGCUCGCCCCGACCAAGAGCACAACAUAGCCGCCACACCUGAUAUUUCUCUACUCUGUGUAAACGGGGUAUGGUACGCGCGACAACAAUUACCUGGGGCAUGGGAGAGCCCGAUAAGCACUGCCACGGCAGACCCGCUACAUCUUCAGCCUCAGCAACGACGCAUUCUUCCACCUCCACGUCCAGCCACAAAGACCUCGAUGAGGAAGUCGCACUUCAUCCGCUCAGUAACCAGGUCGGAGGUCAUACUCGUCUUCUGCUGCUCAACCAGAAUACUAUCUGCAAGCCGUUGAACUGCAGGGAACUCGACUUUUAUAGGAACAUUCCGCAAGAUAUACAAAUGUUUGUCCCUAAAUUUAAAGGAAUUAUGCAGGCGUCCAACAGCGGUGAAGUCAAGUUGGAAAAGCGCUACAGUCCAAACUUCAGAGAUCAAGAAAUAAGACACAGCGGUAAAUCCUCUACAAAACGAAAACGAGACGAUGUUUUGAGAAUGAAAAUUCAUCGGAAAAACAGUUCGAUAGAUGUUUCAAAAUCAUCAAUGCAUUUGGAUUUAACGGCAAAUAAACAAUAUUUCCUAUUACUAGAAAAUAUAACGUCAUGUUAUUCACAACCCUGCAUAUUGGACCUGAAAAUGGGGACGAGGCAGCACGGCGACGAUGCAACAGCCGAAAAACGAAGCAAGCAGAUAGCCAAGUGCGCUGCAAGUACCUCGGCUUCGCUAGGAGUACGUUUGUGUGGAAUGCAGGUUUAUCAAGCAGACACGGAUCACUAUAUAAAACGAGAUAAAUAUUACGGCAGAGAACUAAACGAGGAAGGUUUCAAAGCAGCGCUUUACAGAUUUUUUCACAAUGGCUAUUCUUUGAGAACUUCUAUAAUUGAAAAAGUCAUAACAAAACUAGAACAAUUGCGCCGUGCUAUCGAAAGACAAAGCAGUUACCGGUUUUAUUCCUGCUCUUUAUUAGUGGUGUACGAAGGCUACCAAGUAGACGCGUACACGGAGCAUCACGACACAUCGCUGGGAGUAGCUGAGCCUUUGGUAACGCACUCGGAUCACUGCUGUUACGACGCAGACACCAGCAACAGCUCGGCGGACUACAAUUUGUCCAGCCACGAAGAAGUUAGUCAAGCUACCUUGCACCGGGGCUUCGGUGAGGCAGCAGCCCGUGGUGCUAAAAAUCCCCUUGGAUUUUAUCCUGUUAACGAGGAGACCGUAUUCAUGGACCAUCAUUCUGUGCACGGUAUUAUGUCGGAUCACCUGAGCCACCAUCACACGGAUAACUGGAUGCUUUAUGGCAACAGCAACAGCAGUAGCAGUAGUAGCAGUAGUAGCAGUAACAGUAGUCAUGGCGCAAGUGGCGACGAAUUUUGCUGCGGUGGUUCGCGACACGGGUUGGUCAUCAACUCCGAAGAUACGAGUUCUGAUCUUGAUAUCAGUCGACUAUCUGAACGUACUGGAUUAAAGCAUAAUCAGAAAUUGCAGCUUCAUUGUAGACAUCAUAGGCCCGUUCAAAAAAAUGAGCAUGGCAAUGACGAUGACGAUGAAGAAGAAGAUGAUGAUGAUGACGACGAUGAAGAUGACGUUUGUACCAGUAUUUCAAAACGAUUAAAAGUCAAAGUCACUUCAAGCACAUCUGCUACUGCUAAUAUUGGGCAGAAAAGUACUUUAGACGACUCUCUAGUCGAUGUGCGCAUAAUCGAUUUUGCUCACACGUCUUUUUCGCAUGGUCAUAGUACUUCAGCAGCCAGCUGUUCCAAUGCUACCCUUCAUCAGGGUCCGGAUUGUGGUUUUCUUACUGGGCUUGACAGCCUUAAGCGCCUGUUACUGGAGAUACUCAAUGAAGGCUAAUUUUUUUAUACAUCUCCGGUAAACGCUCACGAUAAUUGUAUUUUUGUGUAUGAGGCUUGUUGGCGAUCAAACUAGUCUCUAAAAGAUUAUAUCGACUCAAGUCGACUCAAAAUUGUUGGGAAUAAUUGAUGGUAGCACAUGUAUAUUGGAUACGAAUACUGAGAGCCGUGAAUGCCGAAGGAAAUAUCUAAAAAUUGAUAAAUUAUAAAUUAUCAGGCUGAAAUUGUCAAAUGGAAAUUUGAUUAGUUUUCUAUAGUUUGAAACUAUGCAAUUUUUCUUUAGCUAAAUUAAUUUAUCAAUCAAAUUUCUCAAUGAGGCCUAUGUAUAUUAAAAUCCUCAAUGUUGUCAACGGCUAGUUUUGAACUAUUAUGUUCAAAAUAAAAACGAAGACUUACUAUUCUAGUAGAUGGGAAAAUGCCGACGAUGCCUUACGCAUGCGUUUGCGACAUUGUCUAACGAUUGAAACAAAAUUAUUAAAUUCUUCAGAGAAAAUCUUUGAAUGGGUAUAUGCAACACAAAAAUAUCCUAAUGCAAAGCUAGAAACAAUGAUGAAAAGGUUCCUGCCAAAAGUAUAUGGUGUUGAAUUACACAUUCACAAUAAUUAAAUAUUGCCAAGUACAUUAUUUCACAAUAAUCAAAUGUUUUCUCCUGCAAUAAAACUGCUGGGAAAAAUUACUCUACUAACAUUCAUAAUAAUUUGGUGCAUAAACCCAAUUACAGGAAAAAGUAGGCAUUCUAGUGUCUAUUGUAAUUUUUAAUUAAAGUAUGAAUGUGUUUGUUAUUGAAUCUGUAAUAAAAGUAAAAGUCCAUAAAAUUAGAUGUGAUGAAAAUACAGUGUUAGUAGCAAAAAAUAGGUAAAAGAUCAACCAUGGUUCUAUUAGCGCACUUUUAUUUUUUAUUGUUGUGACAGUUAUGUUGUCAUGGAAAAUGGAUCAUUCUUUGCUUCGUGAUUAUAGUGAAUUAAGUACCUUAGGAUGUACAUUUAAAUAAGUCUUACAUCGCAUAUGUAUACGCGUGAUGUAAAAUAUUAUUUUUUACUUCCUUUAUUGUAAAUAUUAUUUUCAUUGACUUUUUAGAAAAGUGUCUAUUUCAACCGAAAUUUAAGCCCAAAAAUGUAUAUCUUCGUCGAAAGCUAAAAUAAUCAGCACGAACUUAGUACAAUACGUACUUAGAUCGCCUAAUAACAAUACCUUAAGCACUCGUUAAUUAGCUUUGACCGCUAAUUACACUUCCCUUUGGCUAGGGUGAUUUUACAUGCCUCACCUUCAUUACAGCUUACUGAUAUAAGUCAGCUUUGUUUACGAGAUUCGGCUAUUUUCUAUUACCGAUCGGUGGCGGGUGAGGCUUGGUCUGACGAGAUAAAUCAACGUUGUAAUCUCAAAGUUGCGAGAGAACUUUCCGAGAGGAUCCUCUAUCAUACAUAAGGAUUUGUCUCCUCAGCUCACAGUAAAUCAGUUUUGGUAUGUAAAAUCGCCGAGUCCAAAUAAGCGUCCUUGCGUGUAAUUAUACGUGCCUUGGGGCUUUUUUGUGGUUCGAGUACGUAGUAUACUACUUCGUAAAUCUUACAGCAGAAAGUAAAUAUUUCGUUCGACUUGCGACUAUGAUAGUAUGAAAGAAACUAUUUUUACAACUCAAAAUGUCAGAUUUACGAGAACACAUUUACCUUCAUCAACAUAAAUUAUUAGAAAAAAUAAUAACAAAUGUUAUAAGCUGAUACUUUAAAUAAUUCGAGUAAAAAUCUAUAAUCGGUACUGAAUGUGAUAAAAUAAUAUAAGAUGAAAAUAUUUACAUAAAAUUGCAAUGAUAAUGUUUCGUAGCUCUAGAUUUUGAAUUUAAAAUAUUUUUACGAAACACAGUUAAUGAAUUAAACGUAGAAAAUGUUUCAACAAUCAUUCACGAUCAUUUUUAUAAUUUUAAAACUGAACAAACAGAAUUUGGUGUACAUAUUUAAUUAUAAUCCAGUUCCUGCCGCCAUGAUUUUAAGCAUUUGUAGGUCUAAAACGAUUGUAUUAUCUAGUUCUUCCAAGGAAUUGAACAUAUGUUUAAUAAUUAAAAAACAUAUAUAUAUUAUAUAUAUGAAAGACGAUGUUGCUUUAGUGUAACUUGUAUUUAAACUGAAAAUAGUAGUUGUAAAUAGAUCUAUUAUUCUUAAUAAAGGAUAAAUAUAAAUUAAAAUUCUGGAAUAUUUUAUAUAGAUAAAAAAGCAAAAAUCUGUGUAAAUACCCUUACUCGAGAUACCCUCAAAUCAUUUCUUAUACUCAAAUUAUCAAAUUUUACACUAUCUCGAGAAACAGUUCUUCAACUCAAAAAUUUCAGUGCAUUAUUUAUCAAAACUAUAUAUACAAAUUAAGUUUAUGUUGAACUAUUGGGCUUGGUAGAUGAUUCUGCAUAAAAUUAAUUUUUAAGUCAAAAUGAAACAAUAAAUAUAAACACAUUCACAACACAAACAGUAUGUAUAUAUUGUUAUACUGUAUAAUCAAUUAUAAAAUAGAUUGAAAUAAUAAAAUUGGUUUGUUUACUAAAUUACUAUUGAUUGAUACAUUUUAGUUCACAUAAUUAUUAAUACGAAGAUUUAUCAAAAAGAUGCUGUAGUCAAAGUGAAAACUUUAUAAUGUUAUGUUCUCUGAGACUCGUACUAUACAUUUUUCGUUGACGGCUCCGUGAAAAAUCAUUGAAAAAAGUUAUAAGUAGAACUUUUUUACUAUAAAUUAGUUAUAUAUAAUAGUAUAUAUAUUUAGUAUUUGUAAAUGUACUUUGUGAAAAUACACGUUCGGAAUUCGUUCAACUUUUCUUAUAAUUCGAUUUAAUUUUUUUAUGCAUUCAAAAAUUAGGUUGCGAAAACGCUAAUAGCACUUUUGUUCAGUUUCAAAUGACAUGAAAGGCACUCCUUUGAAAUAAGUAACUUUAAAAACACUAUUAAAAAGAUAUUGCAAGUACUAACUCUUUAUUCUAAACUAAUAGAAUGUAUAAUUUGUGAUGUGCAGUCAAAUAAAUAUUUGUUUUAGAUAAAGCAAAGACUUAUUUAUAAUCACCAUGAGCCAUCAUUACAGGGUUCAAACAUCUAAAUUUGUUUUUGAAAAGUCAAAAAUCGUCGGUUUAAAUGUUUAGAACUAAUUCAUCGCGACACAAAUACACUAUCAAAAUAUGUAUAUACUAAUUUUUAUCAAAAUAUGCAAAAAUAAAUAAUCUUGAGGAUAACAACAA
RNAcentral lists this unclassified non-coding RNA (7379 nucleotides) under Trichogramma pretiosum. RNAcentral's name for it is "inositol hexakisphosphate kinase 1, transcript variant X1". The record is from RNAcentral. Lineage: Eukaryota; Metazoa; Arthropoda; Insecta; Hymenoptera; Trichogrammatidae.